AUUGAACGCUGGCGGAAUGCUUUACACAUGCAAGUCGAACGGCAGCACGGGGGCUUGCUCCUGGUGGCGAGUGGCGAACGGGUGAGUAACGCGUCGGAACGUACCGAGUAAUGGGGAUAACUUAGGGAAACUUAAGCUAAUACCGCAUAAGCCCUAUGGGGGAAAGCAGGGGAUCGCAAGACCUUGCGCUAACAGAUGAGCCUAUGUCGGAUUAGCUAGUUGGUAGGGUAAAGGCUCACCAAGGCGACGAUCCGUAGCUGGUCUGAGAGGACGACCAGCCACACUGGGACUGAGACACGGCCCAGACUCCUACGGGAGGCAGCAGUGGGGAAUUUUGGACAAUGGGGGCAACCCUGAUCCAGCCAUGCCGCGUGAGUGAAGAAGGCCUUCGGGUUGUAAAGCUCUUUCGGCCGGGACGAAACGGUACAUCUUAAUACGGUGUGCUAAUGACGGUACCGGCAGAAGAAGCACCGGCUAACUACGUGCCAGCAGCCGCGGUAAUACGUAGGGUGCGAGCGUUAAUCGGAAUUACUGGGCGUAAAGCGUGCGCAGGCGGAUUGUUAAGCAAGAUGUGAAAUCCCCGGGCUUAACCUGGGAAUGGCAUUUUGAACUGGCAGUCUAGAGUGUGUCAGAGGGGGGUGGAAUUCCACGUGUAGCAGUGAAAUGCGUAGAUAUGUGGAGGAACACCAAUGGCGAAGGCAGCCCCCUGGGAUAACACUGACGCUCAUGUACGAAAGCGUGGGUAGCAAACAGGAUUAGAUACCCUGGUAGUCCACGCCCUAAACGAUGUCAACUGGUUGUUGGGGGAGUGAAAUCCCUUAGUAACGAAGCUAACGCGUGAAGUUGACCGCCUGGGGAGUACGGUCGCAAGAUUA
RNAcentral lists this ribosomal RNA (875 nucleotides) under uncultured bacterium. RNAcentral's name for it is "bacterial SSU rRNA". It matches the Rfam family "Bacterial small subunit ribosomal RNA", at positions 28 to 896 of the family's 1533-position model. The record is from RNAcentral.